Long non-coding RNA from Pipistrellus kuhlii (Kuhl's pipistrelle), 1598 nucleotides. RefSeq lists it as uncharacterized. Lineage: Eukaryota; Metazoa; Chordata; Mammalia; Chiroptera; Vespertilionidae. The transcript has 3 exons. The record is from RefSeq and is a predicted model, not a curated record.
UUGAAUCUCUUUUGCUUUAUUAAGUUUGCCUUCUUGAUCUUACAUGAGUUGAGACAAGUAUGCUUAAGUCUUCCACUGUAAUUGAAUUUCUGUCAAUUUCUACUCACACUUCUAAGAGUUUAUGCUCAAUGUAUUUCAGAGCUAUGUUCUCUGGUCCAUUAAAGUUCAUGGACUGGACUAUGAUUUCACUAUUGAUCAUAACUUUUAUCAAUAUCAAAUGCCCUAUUUAAUGCACUUGGCCUUGAAUUUUAUACUGUUCAUUUUCCAUAUUGCCAUUCUCUUUCUUUUGGUUCCCAUUUUCCUCAUCUAUUUAUGCUUUAGGUUCAACAGAGCUAGAGAAGAUGGCAUAAUGUCUCUAGGAAUGGGUGGAACAGAGUUUUUUUGUCACCUGUUUUGUUCCUGUCUCUUCUCUUUGACAAUACAAACAUGGAAUAGCAGCACACAAUGGCGAGAAAGUCACCUGUAACUCACCUGGCUGCUCUGAUCUUGUUCUCCUGGCUAAACAAAACUCAUGGUCCCAGACACUUGCAGAGAAGACCCUGAGAAAUUGCAGAGUGGGGAGUGUUCCUGAAGACAGGUGAGGUUGUGUGCCCUUCCACUUCUCAGAAGGGGAAGAAUGCGGAUUCUGAAACGAUAGACCAGCACACUUUCUACAUGGAAGAUAUCAAAUGGAUUACUAUAUAGAAAAGGAAGUGGAUGUUAUUGGACAAUGGGUUUGCUCAGGACAUUUCUUGCCAGAGAAUACAAUUUCUCUCUUUGACAGCUCUACAGCACUUAAGCAAGUUUUUCUUAAACUUUUAUUUUAAAAUUCAAGAAAAAUGUAAAAUGGAAAGAAUAGCAUAAUGAACCCAACCUAUCCAUCUCCCAGCUUUGACAACUUUCAACUCAGUUUUUUUUUUUUUUUAACAUUUUGUUUCACUUCCAACCACCCCCACUCCCUAUUAUUGUGAAGCAAAUCCUGGACAUUCAAUAACUAUUUCAGUGUGCCUCAGAAAACCGUAACCACAAUACCAUUAUCACACCUGUAUUAGCUGUCUGUUGCUCCAUAACAAUCACUACAAAAUUUAGCAGCUUAGAUUAAUGGUGAGACAUAGAGAUUUGAUCAGCUUCAGGUUAGGUUUCUUUUUCCUUUCUUUUAUUUUUGGCAAAGUCCUGUACCAUUUAGGGGUCCAGUAGGGAAAGCAGAAACCACAACACGCUGGGCCUUUCAGCAGAGGAGAUAACUACAGGAUGCAGUCACCAUCCCUAAGGAGCAAGAUAAGGGAAUGAAGUUGGGAGGACAGAAUUCAGAACUGAGGAGCAUGGCCACCACCCAGCUGCUGCUGCUGGGUCCUCCAAAAGAGCACGAUGAAGGGUCAGAAUCCAGCAAGGAGUUAGCUCCUGUUGAGACUAGAGAAGACCCAACCUCACAGCUUCACAGGGAGGACCUCUGGCUUUAGAAGGGUGUUGAUUUCAAGGGCAUGCCUUAAUAAACAUCCUGCACAAUAACUCUGCCUCAGCGUUUGCUUCCUGGGGAACUCAACCCAUGACUCUGAUAUCAUCCUUCCAUUCAUAAAUGCAUUCUUCUAUUCACAUGUCCUUCCAUCCAAUAAAUAAAU